UCUAAUAUGGCAGAAUAGUGUAAUAGAUUUAAGCUCUAUAAAUAAAGAUAAAACUUUUAUUAGAA
This 65-nucleotide transfer RNA is filed under the name Lopaphus albopunctatus. RNAcentral's name for it is "tRNA-Leu". It matches the Rfam family "tRNA". Rfam says of the family: Transfer RNA (tRNA) molecules are approximately 80 nucleotides in length. Their secondary structure includes four short double-helical elements and three loops (D, anti-codon, and T loops). Lineage: Eukaryota; Metazoa; Arthropoda; Insecta; Phasmatodea; Lonchodidae. The record is from RNAcentral.